UACGAAGGGGGCUAGCGUUGCUCGGAAUGACUGGGCGUAAAGGGCGCGUAGGCGGGGAUCACAGUCAGGCGUGAAAUUCCUGGGCUUAACCUGGGGGCUGCGUUUGAUACGUGGUUGCUAGAGUGGGGAAGAGGGUCGUGGAAUUCCCAGUGUAGCGGUGAAAUGCGUAGAUAUUGGGAGGAACACCAGUGGCGAAGGCGGCUCGCUGGACCGGUUCUGACGCUGAUGCGCGAAAGCGUGGGGAGCAAACGGG
Molecule: ribosomal RNA, 253 nt
Filed under: uncultured bacterium
Lineage: Bacteria
Description: partial 16S ribosomal RNA
Rfam family: Bacterial small subunit ribosomal RNA
Source: RNAcentral